Molecule: non-coding RNA, 747 nt
Organism: Oreochromis aureus
Lineage: Eukaryota; Metazoa; Chordata; Actinopteri; Cichliformes; Cichlidae
Source: the annotation of a RefSeq genome assembly
UUAAUCCAGGUGUUAAAAAUACAUAAAUAUGUGUCCAAUAUAUUUUCCUCUAUUCCAUAAAAUCUUUAAUGGUAUUAGUUCAAACAACUUUUCUUUUGAUUUUGUGCCACAAAGUUUCCUUCAGUGUGUUGAGAGCAGAGAAAUCAUUUCCAUAGAGAGGAGGCUUUGUAUCAUCAGCUGAUCCUCCAGAGAACUGAGAAGGUUUAUAGUCCUGUCAGUUCAACACUGCAGGACUCACAUCUAUCAGUCAACACAGCAGAAAGCACAACCACCAUGACUCUCAUCACCAUCCUCAUCUGGACGCUGACCUGCUGCUGUUUUACAGGAUGCAGCGGUCAGGUGACUGUGACUCAACCUCCAGAAGAGACAUCUUCUCGUGGAUCCACUGUCACUCUGACCUGUAGGACCAGCCAAGCUGUUCGCAGAUGGGAUGAUGGUGAUGAGGGUAUGUUUUGGUAUCAACAGAAAUCUGGACAGACUCCAAAGCUCCUAAUAAGAUAUGUGAAAACACUUCAGUCAGGAACACCAUCUCGAUUUAGUGGCAGUGGAAGCAGCUCUGACUUCUCUAUGACCAUCAGUGGAGUUCAGGCUGAAGAUGCAGCAGUUUACUACUGUAAGAGUUACCACUACAUAAACAGUGUUCAAGUGUUCACACAGUGAUUUGUAGUCGUACAAAAACCUCCCUCAGUCAGACUGCAGAGACACUGAGCUGUUACAGCAGGAACUGACUGCAGGUGCUGAAAAAGA